Molecule: ribosomal RNA, 458 nt
Filed under: uncultured bacterium
Lineage: Bacteria
Description: partial 16S ribosomal RNA
Rfam family: Bacterial small subunit ribosomal RNA
Source: RNAcentral
CCUACGGGAGGCAGCAGUGAGGAAUAUUGGUCAAUGGGCGAGAGCCUGAACCAGCCAAGUCGCGUGAGGGAGUACUGCCCUAUGGGUUGUAAACCUCUUUUGUCGGGGAGCAAAAGCCGGACGUGUCCGGCUGUGAGAGUACCCGAAGAAAAAGCAUCGGCUAACUCCGUGCCAGCAGCCGCGGUAAUACGGAGGAUGCGAGCGUUAUCCGGAUUUAUUGGGGUUAAAGGGUGCGCAGGCGGAUUUUUAAUUCAGCGGUCAAAUCGUGGGGCUCAACCCCAUCCAGCCGUUGAAACUGGGGAUCUAGAGUGUGCGAGAGGUAUGCGGAAUGCGUGGUGUAGCGGUGAAAUGCAUAGAUAUCACGCAGAACCCCGAUUGCGAAGGCAGCAUACCGGUGCACAACUGACGCUCAGGCACGAAAGCGUGGGUAUCGAACAGGAUUAGAUACCCUUGUAGUC